AUUGAACGCUGGCGGAAUGCUUUACACAUGCAAGUCGAACGGCAGCACGGGGGCAACCCUGGUGGCGAGUGGCGAACGGGGGAGUAAUACAUCGGAACGUGCCCAGUCGUGGGGGAUAACGUGGCGAAAGUUACCCUAAUACCGCAUACGAUCUACGGAUGAAAGCGGGGGACCGUAAGGCCUCGAGCGAGUGGAGCGGCCGAUGUCAGAUUAGGUAGGUGGUGAGGUAAAGGCUCACCAAACCGACGAUCUGUAGCUGGGAUGAGAGGACGACCAGCCACACUGGGACUGAGACACGGCCCAGACUCCUACGGGAGGCAGCAAUGGGGAAUGUUGGACAAAGGGCGCAAGCCUGAUCCAGCCAUUCCGCGUGCAGGACGAAGGCCUUCGGGUUGUAAACUGCUUUUGUACGGAACGAAAAGGCUCUGGUUAAUAGUUGGAGCUCAUGACGUUACCGUAAGAAUAAGCGCCGACUAACUACGUGCCAGCCGCCGCCGUAA
This 500-nucleotide ribosomal RNA is filed under the name uncultured bacterium. RNAcentral describes it as "partial 16S ribosomal RNA". It matches the Rfam family "Bacterial small subunit ribosomal RNA", at positions 29 to 523 of the family's 1533-position model. The record is from RNAcentral.